CGAAACCAGGUGAUCUACCCUUGGUCAGGUUGAAGUUCAGGUAACACUGAAUGGAGGACCGAACCGACUUACGUUGAAAAGUGAGCGGAUGAACUGAGGGUAGCGGAGAAAUUCCAAUCGAACCUGGAGAUAGCUGGUUCUCUCCGAAAUAGCUUUAGGGCUAGCCUCAAGUGAUGAUUAUUGGAGGUAGAGCACUGUUUGGACGAGGGGCCCCUCUCGGGUUACCGAAUUCAGACAAACUCCGAAUGCCAAUUAAUUUAACUUGGGAGUCAGAACAUGGGUGAUAAGGUCCGUGUUCGAAAGGGAAACAGCCCAGACCACCAGCUAAGGUCCCAAAAUAUAUGUUAAGUGGAAAAGGAUGUGGCGUUGCCCAGACAACUAGGAUGUUGGCUUAGAAGCAGCCAUCAUUUAAAGAGUGCGUAAUAGCUCACUAGUCGAGUGACACUGCGCCGAAAAUGUACCGGGGCUAAACAUAUUACCGAAGCUGUGGAUUGUCCUUUGGACAAUGGUAGGAGAGCGUUCUAAGGGCGUUGAAGCAUGAUCGUAAGGACAUGUGGAGCGCUUAGAAGUGAGAAUGCCGGUGUGAGUAGCGAAAGACGGGUGAGAAUCCCGUCCACCGAUUGACUAAGGUUUCCAGAGGAAGGCUCGUCCGCUCUGGGUUAGUCGGGUCCUAAGCUGAGGCCGACAGGCGUAGGCGAUGGAUAACAGGUUGAUAUUCCUGUACCACCUAUAAUCGUUUUAAUCGAUGGGGGGGACGCAGUAGGAUAGGCGAAGCGUGCGAUUGGAUUGCACGUCUAAGCAGUAAGGCUGAGUAUUAGGCAAAUCCGGUACUCGUUAAGGCUGAGCUGUGAUGGGGAGAAGACAUUGUGUCUUCGAGUCGUUGAUUUCACACUGCCGAGAAAAGCCUCUAGAUAGAAAAUAGGUGCCCGUACCGCAAACCGACACAGGUAGUCAAGAUGAGAAUUCUAAGGUGAGCGAGCGAACUCUCGUUAAGGAACUCGGCAAAAUGACCCCGUAACUUCGGGAGAAGGGGUGCUCUUUAGGGUUAACGCCCAGAAGAGCCGCAGUGAAUAGGCCCAAGCGACUGUUUAUCAAAAACACAGGUCUCUGCUAAACCGUAAGGUGAUGUAUAGGGGCUGACGCCUGCCCGGUGCUGGAAGGUUAAGAGGAGUGGUUAGCUUCUGCGAAGCUACGAAUCGAAGCCCCAGUAAACGGCGGCCGUAACUAUAACGGUCCUAAGGUAGCGAAAUUCCUUGUCGGGUAAGUUCCGACCCGCACGAAAGGCGUAACGAUUUGGGCACUGUCUCAACGAGAGACUCGGUGAAAUCAUAGUACCUGUGAAGAUGCAGGUUACCCGCGACAGGACGGAAAGACCCCGUGGAGCUUUACUGUAGCCUGAUAUUGAAAUUCGGCACAGCUUGUACAGGAUAGGUAGGAGCCUUUGAAACGUGAGCGCUAGCUUACGUGGAGGCGCUGGUGGGAUACUACCCUAGCUGUGUUGGCUUUCUAACCCGCACCACUUAUCGUGGUGGGAGACAGUGUCAGGCGGGCAGUUUGACUGGGGCGGUCGCCUCCUAAAAGGUAACGGAGGCGCUCAAAGGUUCCCUCAGAAUGGUUGGAAAUCAUUCAUAGAGUGUAAAGGCAUAAGGGAGCUUGACUGCGAGACCUACAAGUCGAGCAGGGUCGAAAGACGGACUUAGUGAUCCGGUGGUUCCGCAUGGAAGGGCCAUCGCUCAACGGAUAAAAGCUACCCCGGGGAUAACAGGCUUAUCUCCCCCAAGAGUUCACAUCGACGGGGAGGUUUGGCACCUCGAUGUCGGCUCAUCGCAUCCUGGGGCUGUAGUCGGUCCCAAGGGUUGGGCUGUUCGCCCAUUAAAGCGGUACGCGAGCUGGGUUCAGAACGUCGUGAGACAGUUCGGUCCCUAUCCGUCGUGGGCGUAGGAAAUUUGAGAGGAGCUGUCCUUAGUACGAGAGGACCGGGAUGGACAUACCUCUGGUGUACCAGUUGUCGUGCCAACGGCAUAGCUGGGUAGCUAUGUGUGGACGGGAUAAGUGCUGAAAG
Molecule: ribosomal RNA, 2062 nt
Filed under: Staphylococcus aureus
Lineage: Bacteria; Bacillati; Bacillota; Bacilli; Caryophanales; Staphylococcaceae
Description: partial 23S ribosomal RNA
Rfam family: Bacterial large subunit ribosomal RNA
Source: RNAcentral